Molecule: ribosomal RNA, 440 nt
Filed under: uncultured bacterium
Lineage: Bacteria
Description: partial 16S ribosomal RNA
Rfam family: Bacterial small subunit ribosomal RNA
Source: RNAcentral
CCUACGGGUGGCUGCAGUGGGGAAUAUUGGACAAUGGGCGCAAGCCUGAUCCAGCCAUGCCGCGUGAGUGACGAAGGCCUUAGGGUUGUAAAGCUCUUUUGUCGGGGACGAUAAUGACGGUACCCGAAGAAUAAGCUCCGGCUAACUUCGUGCCAGCAGCCGCGGUAAUACGAAGGGAGCUAGCGUUGUUCGGAAUCACUGGGCGUAAAGCGCACGUAGGCGGAUUGAUAAGUCAGGGGUGAAAUCCCGGGGCUCAACCUCGGAACUGCCUUUGAUACUGUCAGUCUCGAGUCCGGAAGAGGUGAGUGGAAUUCCUAGUGGAGAGGUGAAAUUCGUAGAUAUUAGGAAGAACACCGGUGGCGAAGGCGGCUCACUGGUCCGGUACUGACGCUGAGGUGCGAAAGCGUGGGGAGCAAACAGGAUUAGAUACCCUUGUAGUC